This 404-nucleotide ribosomal RNA is filed under the name Actinomycetes bacterium. RNAcentral describes it as "Actinobacteria bacterium partial 16S ribosomal RNA". It matches the Rfam family "Bacterial small subunit ribosomal RNA", at positions 355 to 776 of the family's 1533-position model. The record is from RNAcentral. Lineage: Bacteria; Bacillati; Actinomycetota; Actinomycetes.
UGGGGAAUAUUGGACAAUGGGCGCAAGCCUGAUCCAGCCAUGCCGCGUGAGUGAUGAAGGCCUUAGGGUUGUAAAGCUCUUUUGUCCGGGAAGAUAAUGACUGUACCGGAAGAAUAAGCCCCGGCUAACUUCGUGCCAGCAGCCGCGGUAAUACGAAGGGGGCUAGCGUUGCUCGGAAUCACUGGGCGUAAAGGGCGCGUAGGCGGACUUUUAAGUCGGGGGUGAAAGCCCAGGGCUCAACCCUGGAAUUGCCUUCGAUACUGGGAGUCUUGAGUUCGGAAGAGGUUGGUGGAACUGCGAGUGUAGAGGUGAAAUUCGUAGAUAUUCGCAAGAACACCGGUGGCGAAGGCAGCCAACUGGUCCGAAACUGACGCUGAGGCGCGAAAGCGUGGGGAGCAAACAGG